This 458-nucleotide ribosomal RNA is filed under the name uncultured bacterium. Its description in RNAcentral is "bacterial SSU rRNA". It matches the Rfam family "Bacterial small subunit ribosomal RNA", at positions 29 to 507 of the family's 1533-position model. The record is from RNAcentral.
AUUGAACGCUAGCGGCAUGCCUUACACAUGCAAGUCGAACGGCAGCACGGGGGCAACCUGGUGGCGAGUGGCGAACGGGUGAGUAAUGCAUCGGAACGUGCCCAUCGAUGGGGGAUAACUGCGCGAAAGCGUUGCUAAUACCGCAUACGACCUACGGGUGAAAGCAGGGGACCGCAAGGCCUUGCGUCGAUGGAGCGGCCGAUGCCGGAUUAGCUAGUUGGUGAGGUAAAGGCUCACCAAGGCGACGAUCCGUAGCUGGUCUGAGAGGACGACCAGCCACACUGGGACUGAGACACGGCCCAGACUCCUACGGGAGGCAGCAGUGGGGAAUCUUGGACAAUGGGGGAAACCCUGAUCCAGCCAUGCCGCGUGAGUGAUGAAGGCCCUAGGGUUGUAAAACUCUUUCGGCGGGGACGAUAAUGACGGUACCCGCAGAAGAAGCUCCGGCUAACUUCGUG